AGGCAAAUCCGCUUUGAUAAUGCUGGGAUGUGAUGGGGAGCGAAAUUUAGUAGCGAAGUAGCUGAUUUCACACUGUCAAGAAAAGUCUCUAUCGAGGUUAAAGGUACCCGUACCGCAAACCGACACAGGUGGGUGAGGAGAGUAUCCUAAGGCCAGCGAGAGAACUGUUGUUAAGGAACUCGGCAAAAUGACCCCGUAACUUAGGGAUAAGGGGUGCCACCAUCAGGUGGCCGCAGAGAAUAGGCCCAAGCGACUGUUUACCAAAAACAUAGGUUUCUGCUAAGUCGCAAGACGAUGUAUAGGAGCUGACGCCUGCCCGGUGCUGGAAGGUUAAGGGGAUCUGUUAGAGCAAUCGAAGCAGUGAACUUAAGCCCCAGUAAACGGCGGCCGUAACUAUAACGGUCCUAAGGUAGCGAAAUUCCUUGUCGGGUAAGUUCCGACCCGCACGAAAGGCGUAACGAUUUGGGCACUGUCUCAACAACAGACUCGGUGAAAUUGUAAUUCCGGUGAAGAUGCCGGAUACCUGCGACAGGACGGAAAGACCCCAUGGAGCUUUACUGUAGCUUGACAUUGGGUCUUGGUACUACAUGUACAGGAUAGGUGGGAGGCUUUGAAACCAGGACGCCAGUUUUGGCGGAGCCAUCCUUGGGAUACCACCCUUGUAGUACUGGGACUCUAACCAUAGGCCAUGAAUCUGGUCUUGGGACACUGUCAGGUGGGCAGUUUGACUGGGGCGGUCGCCUCCCAAAAGGUAACGGAGGCGCUCAAAGGUUCUCUCAGUACGGUCGGAAAUCGUACGUAGAGUGUAAAGGCAAAAGAGAGCUUGAUUGCAAGACAUACAGGUCGAGCAAGGAUGAAAAUCGGACUUAGUGAUCCGGUGGUUCUGCGUGGAAGGGCCAUCGCUCAACGGAUAAAAGCUACCCUGGGGAUAACAGGCUUAUCUCCCCCAAGAGUCCACAUCGACGGGGAGGUUUGGCACCUCGAUGUCGGCUCAUCACAUCCUGGGGCUGUAGUAGGUCCCAAGGGUUGGGCUGUUCGCCCAUUAAAGUGGUACGCGAGCUGGGUUCAGAACGUCGUGAGACAGUUCGGUCCCUAUCCGUCGCAGGCGUAGGAAAUUUGAGAAGACCUGUCCUUAGUACGAGAGGACCGGGAUGGACGUACCUCUGGUGUACCAGUUGUUCUGCCAAGGGCAUGGCUGGG
This 1200-nucleotide ribosomal RNA is filed under the name Clostridioides difficile T61. Its description in RNAcentral is "bacterial LSU rRNA". It matches the Rfam family "Bacterial large subunit ribosomal RNA", at positions 1534 to 2745 of the family's 2925-position model. The record is from RNAcentral. Lineage: Bacteria; Bacillati; Bacillota; Clostridia; Peptostreptococcales; Peptostreptococcaceae.